This is a long non-coding RNA of Strongylocentrotus purpuratus (purple sea urchin), 515 nucleotides long. RefSeq lists it as uncharacterized. The transcript has 4 exons. The record is from RefSeq and is a predicted model, not a curated record. NCBI's taxonomy places the organism in Eukaryota, Metazoa, Echinodermata, Echinoidea, Camarodonta, Strongylocentrotidae.
GGGCUGAAUUACACCUUACCAAUGUUCAACGAGUGUAAGAAGGAACUGCAUUAUAAUGGCAGCAUGGUACAGACCAUUCCAAAGCUCAUCUCAUACACAUCUAAUGAGGAAGCUGCUUGUCCAAGAAGGAAGAGUAAACUGGGGAUCCCACCCGGACACAGAGUGUGCAGAUUACCUGAUUGUGGCGAAAAUCCUUGUCGAAACGGCUGGUGUGAGGAGACUAUGAGAAACUUCAAAUGCCACUGCUCUGCCGGAUAUCGAGGAAAACGUUGCGAUGAACAUGCAGAGACAUAAAUCCGCUGUUACCCUGAGAGACACGUUCCUACUUCUCUGCACUUCAUUCGUCAUUGCUCACGCGCGGGGGUCUACAAACAUGGCCGAUGAAGUGUUGCAUACGGAGGAUAAUCAUUGCCAGCCGAUUCUUGUCAAUGGUAAAUUGAUGCCUAUAGUGCCAGAAUACAUGCCCUCGUUUCCCGUCGCCUUGAAGGGUAUUAGACACCAUUUCGUUUGCAAGU